This 478-nucleotide ribosomal RNA is filed under the name uncultured bacterium. RNAcentral describes it as "partial 16S ribosomal RNA". It matches the Rfam family "Bacterial small subunit ribosomal RNA", at positions 28 to 523 of the family's 1533-position model. The record is from RNAcentral.
GACGAACGCUGGCGGCGUGCUUAACACAUGCAAGUCGAACGGCAAGGCCCUUCGGGGUACACGAGUGGCGAACGGGUGAGUAACACGUGGGUGAUCUGCCCUGCACUUCGGGAUAAGCCUGGGAAACUGGGUCUAAUACCGGAUAGGACCCUGGGAUGCAUGUCCUGGGGUGGAAAGCUUUUGCGGUGUGGGAUGGGCCCGCGGCCUAUCAGCUUGUUGGUGGGGUGAUGGCCUACCAAGGCGGCGACGGGUAGCCGGCCUGAGAGGGUGACCGGCCACACUGGGACUGAGAUACGGCCCAGACUCCUACGGGAGGCAGCAGUGGGGAAUAUUGCUCAAUGGGCGCAAGCCUGAUGCAGCGACGCCGCGUGAGGGAUGACGGCCUUCGGGUUGUAAACCUCUUUCAGCACCGACGAAGCGCAAGUGACGGUAGGUGCAGAAGAAGGACCGGCCAACUACGUGCCAGCAGCCGCAGUAA